RNAcentral lists this small nuclear RNA (163 nucleotides) under Betta splendens (Siamese fighting fish). RNAcentral describes it as "U1 spliceosomal RNA (ENSBSLG00000001126.1)". It matches the Rfam family "U1 spliceosomal RNA". Rfam says of the family: U1 is a small nuclear RNA (snRNA) component of the spliceosome (involved in pre-mRNA splicing). Its 5' end forms complementary base pairs with the 5' splice junction, thus defining the 5' donor site of an intron. There are significant differences in sequence and secondary structure between metazoan and yeast U1 snRNAs, the latter being much longer (568 nucleotides as compared to 164 nucleotides in human). Lineage: Eukaryota; Metazoa; Chordata; Actinopteri; Anabantiformes; Osphronemidae. The record is from Rfam by way of RNAcentral.
AUACUUACCUGGCAGGGGAGAUACCAUGAUCAUGUAGGUGGUUCACCCAGGGCGAGGCUCAGCCAUUGCACUGAGGCUGACUGACCUCUGCGAAUUCCCCAAAUGUGGGAAUCUCGACUGCAUAAUUUCUGGUAGUGGGGGACUGCGUUCGCGCUCUCCCCUG